RNAcentral lists this non-coding RNA (21 nucleotides) under Caenorhabditis elegans. Lineage: Eukaryota; Metazoa; Nematoda; Chromadorea; Rhabditida; Rhabditidae. The record is from RNAcentral.
UCGGUGAUUUGGUUAUUGAUU